AGUGAACGCUGGCGGUAGGCCUAACACAUGCAAGUCGAACGGCAGCACAGUAGGAGCUUGCUCUUACGGGUGGCGAGUGGCGGACGGGUGAGGAAUACAUCGGAAUCUACUUUUUCGUGGGGGAUAACGUAGGGAAACUUACGCUAAUACCGCAUACGACCUACGGGUGAAAGCAGGGGAUCUUCGGACCUUGCGCGAUUGAAUGAGCCGAUGUCGGAUUAGCUAGUUGGCGGGGUAAAGGCCCACCAAGGCGACGAUCCGUAGCUGGUCUGAGAGGAUGAUCAGCCACACUGGAACUGAGACACGGUCCAGACUCCUACGGGAGGCAGCAGUGGGGAAUAUUGGACAAUGGGCGCAAGCCUGAUACAGCCAUACCGCGUGGGUGAAGAAGGCCUUCGGGUUGUAAAGCCCUUUUGUUGGGAAAGAAAAGCAGCAGGUUAAUACCCCGCUGUUCUGACGGUACCCAAAGAAUAAGCACCGGCUAACUUCGUG
This 492-nucleotide ribosomal RNA is filed under the name uncultured bacterium. RNAcentral's name for it is "partial 16S ribosomal RNA". It matches the Rfam family "Bacterial small subunit ribosomal RNA", at positions 29 to 507 of the family's 1533-position model. The record is from RNAcentral.